UCAUGUUGGUCAGGUGCCUUUGCCGCCAUCCUGAUUGAAAGAUAGUGCAUGCUUCCCCUAAAGAGACUUAGUGGUUUUAAUAUCAGAAGAAAAUGCGCAAAAGAAACCUGGCGACUUUGAAGAAGACAGGGUCAUCAUGGAACACAGAUUAUGGGGGAGGGUCGGGAGGGCUACAAAGCAAACUUUGUGCCUUUGACCGAUUUCUUGAGAAGAGUGGUUAUUCGUAGCAUAUGGUUCUGUCAACUCGACUAUACUCAAAAGUACCUUCAAAAAACCGCUAUUUUUGUCUUAAGAUUGGCCAAUUCUCUCUGAAAACACAGAGUAUUGAGUAAACUCACAAGUUAAGGUUCAGACUAGAUACACACAGAAGAUUUAACACAGAAAAGACAUCCCGUAUAGAUUUAAAUUUGUUGAAACAGUUGGAGCUGGUUGCCUAAAUAACUCCUACAACCUUUGUUUUGGGUUGUAUGUACGAAAACAAUCUAGAACACACAAAACUAAGUCUUAACAAUAGAUCCAGGCGAGAAAAAAAAAACUCCUGAGAAGCAGUUCUUAAAACUCUUUCCAGAUUCAAGACCUAAAUAUUAGAAUUACAUAUUUCAAGUCCUUUAAAAAAGAUUCCAACGUUAAAUAAAAACUGAUCCGUAAAUUUGUGAA
Long non-coding RNA from Actinia tenebrosa (Australian red waratah sea anemone), 657 nucleotides. RefSeq lists it as uncharacterized. The record is from RefSeq and is a predicted model, not a curated record. NCBI's taxonomy places the organism in Eukaryota, Metazoa, Cnidaria, Anthozoa, Actiniaria, Actiniidae.